UACGUAGGGACCAAGCGUUGUUCGGAUUUACUGGGCGUAAAGGGCGCGUAGGCGGCGUGUCAAGUCAAUUGUGAAAUCUCCGGGCUUAACUCGGAACGGUCAAUUGAUACUGAUGUGCUAGAGUGCAGAAGGGGCAAUCGGAAUUCUUGGUGUAGCGGUGAAAUGCGUAGAUAUCAAGAGGAACACCUGAGGUGAAGACGGGUUGCUGGGCUGACACUGACGCUGAGGCACGAAAGCUAGGGUAGCAAACGGG
RNAcentral lists this ribosomal RNA (253 nucleotides) under uncultured bacterium. RNAcentral's name for it is "partial 16S ribosomal RNA". It matches the Rfam family "Bacterial small subunit ribosomal RNA", at positions 524 to 776 of the family's 1533-position model. The record is from RNAcentral.